CUUAGUAGGAGCAGAUGUUAAAUUUUCUGAAAGAUAAAAUUAUCUGAAAAUACGAACAUUUUGCAAUGUCACCUAUUUCCUACGCUGAUCUGGGGCUUUGUAUGUGACUUCUAAGCGUUCCAAAUUAUUGUGAUAAAGCUGGCCAGAGCCAGCUUAGAGAUCCAUCUGGUUGCACAGUGACAUGAAGCAGCAUUUAUGCCCUGCCCGCUGCAGACCCUCAGUGUCUGCAAAGCUGAACACUUGGCUAGCCUGGCCUUUACUGCCCACUGCUGCCAAAGAAAGAAAAGGGGUGCCAAAGGGCUCAGACAAAAUAGAGACAAGAAUGCAUGAGCCUUUUCUUGGAGUUCGUCAGUGGCUAAAGGUGCCCACGAGGCUACGUGCACUGUGCUUCAGCCAAGGCAGAGCAGACGUGAAACUCAAGCCCAAACAAGCUUCUUUAGUAAGUACAGUGAAAUCUGGAGUCGUGAAGACACAAAGGUCAGGUCUACACACCUGCUACACACCUGGAUAAUCUGUAAUGUCUGCCUAGACUGGUCAAAAGCUGGGACGCUCAGCAGUUCCUCCAUUGCAGAGAGCUUUGAGAAAGCAUCUCAGGGUUAUAAAUGGAUUGUUGCCCAACAUUGAUGAAAAUACUGUUCCAUUUUAAUUUCCAGUCCUGCAGCCAUUGCCAGCUGUAUUUAGUGAUAAACAUAUGACAAAUGUCAUUAGCUUCAGUGCAAAUAUUUGUGUUUAAGAUGAAGUCCAAGCCAGAGUAAUUAUAAGAUCAAGGCUUUAUAGCAAUACACUUUUAAAAACAAUUAUAUAUAUACACACACACAUAUAUAAAUACAACCUGAGAUUUCCCUGGUAAUCUGAGUUGCUUCAAAGCUGAUCAGAUACUCUGGGAGCAAUUUUACAAACAGUCAAAGAUGCUGUUUACUUCAUAUGUAAAUCGUGUUGCGUAUCUUGGGGGGGAGGUUAAAAAUGCCUCUUUAGAUUUCAUUUUAUUGCCAAAAUUGUUCAAAGUGGGGUUUUGACAAAUGGAAACUGUUACACAGAGAGUACUUUAUAGACUUUAGCAUUAGCCUCUUGAUAACACCUGUAAGCACUGUUCACUCUUACGUACAUAACAUUGUUUUGAAUUUUUCUUGAAACCUCUCUGCACAGCUGUUAAGAUUGAUUUUGGGCAGGAUGCAAGCCCGUAAUGUUAGCCUGUAUGUUAGCAGCAAAGUAAUGCUGAGCUAGAGCUACUGUAUGUGGCCUGGAAGUUCUCAGUUAUCUUGAAGUCUGUGCACUCUACAGUGUGUAGCCACUGAAGUUAACAAUACCAAACUCCAUUUUUCACCAGAAAUAGGUUUAUUGCAUAACUAAAUUAUUGAUAUCAUCCAUCCCAUACAAAAAUGAAGCAAAACAAAUGUACAUGCUUCAAAUUCCAUGCUUAAUCAAUGCUACAAAAUUCUCCAGGGCAGAAAACUGGUAUCUGCUAUAGAGCAUGGGUAUGGUUGUGUGUACAGAAGUGAGGGGGCAAAAUUGAUGCAAACUCUAACCACACUGUUAACUGGAAAGCUUAACGGGAUGCAGAUUUAGAAGGGCAGAUGCUGUGUCACUUUUUUUUUUUUUUUUUUUUUUUUGUACUGGGCAAUGUUUGUCCCCAACCAUUGCUACCAGGAUUCUAGUGCAUACCAGUGCAGUCAGUCUCCUGUGUAUCUCUCCAAUGGGCUUUGUCAACUCAUCUACCAGUUAAGUGGCAAUCUGGAUGUCAUGCUGCAAAAAUACUACGUUUAGGAUCUGAUUGUGCAGGUUUUGGGGGGACCUUCAUUGAUCCUUGGAGCAUUUUAUUGCAAUACCUUGAAAUACCUCUUCUGACAGUAGGAUAUAAACCAUGCAAAAGAUUUGUUUUUGUUUACUACAAAGAUAGUCAGCCUACUCUUUUAUCCCAUGUUGUGAUAAGGAUCAUAUAAAACCCUGGUACUGAUGCUCUCUUGGCAGUGACGCUGAAUAGAAAGGUUUCCUUGUGUUUACUGACAGAGUUUUAAACUUUGGUAAGCUAUUGCCUAUAUAUAAAGUUGAAAUGGAACUAACAGAAAAAAUUCAUAUAUAUGAGGCAGUUACAGGUUUGCACACUGUGCUGAGACUUGUAUGUGGGACACAUUUGUUGCUACUGGUUUUUAAUGCAUUUUCAAUUCUGUUUUUCUCUGUCGAAUAAAACAGAUGUCUUCAUUAUAUGUGCA
Anser brachyrhynchus (Pink-footed goose) is the source of this 2210-nucleotide long non-coding RNA. The record is from Ensembl. Lineage: Eukaryota; Metazoa; Chordata; Aves; Anseriformes; Anatidae.